This is a long non-coding RNA of Chelonia mydas (Green sea turtle), 833 nucleotides long. RefSeq lists it as uncharacterized. The transcript has 3 exons. The record is from RefSeq and is a predicted model, not a curated record. NCBI's taxonomy places the organism in Eukaryota, Metazoa, Chordata, Testudines, Cheloniidae.
GACGUCGGUGCUUAAACCUGCGCUAGAAAAAAUGCCACUCGGCUGGAGGCUGGGAGACACCUAAAAGAUGGCACUGAAUGUUCUAAUUCCUCGCUGGGGAAUGAAUCAAAUUGGCAUCCAAGGAUCUUACUGAUAUAUAAAUAGUGGAUGACAACAAAUGCUCGUGAAGAUGAUUCCGAAUACAGAAAACAAUCAUCGUCACAGCUGGCACUUCUCUCGCACUUUUUUCAGUGGAAAGUAUAUUCAUUUGCAAUGUGAUCAAUGAGGCAGCAGAAUGCAGUGAGAUAACCCCAGACGCCAUAGAAGCUGAAAGAUGAGGCUGAGUGUGUGGCUCUUACUAUCUCACUUAACAAACUUCCACACUUGUGAGAUCCAUAUGUGUAUAACAUACUUAUCGCAUUGCAGAAGGAAAAAGAAACACGUUAUGCACAAGGAACAAAAAACAAUUGGGAAGAUGCUGUCUAAGGUCAAAGUUAGGUUAACUUCCAAACCUGGUGGUUGGUUAUUUAUUUAUUUUGCUCACUGUUUGGUUCUGUAUUCAUGUUUGUCGGUAGCAUAUAAGGAACUGAGUGAUCUAGCUUUGUCUUUAGACUAGUAUUUGAAGUGAUGUUUAACAAGGAAAUCAAGUGUUGGGAGAGCACAAGUGAGGAACUUUUAGUCACUCACAGGCAAGUUAUUUUUAAGCCCUUUGAUUUCCUUAAAUACUUAUAAAAAAACAUGCACUUAAGAAAAUAAUUAAGCUUUUUUCUUGUUCAAGUCCUGCAGGAAAAAGUAUAACAUGACAGUGACUAGAUUGUGCUCUCAUUAAAUGAUUGUUGUUGGGGCAUAUUCUU